This 498-nucleotide ribosomal RNA is filed under the name uncultured bacterium. Its description in RNAcentral is "partial 16S ribosomal RNA". It matches the Rfam family "Bacterial small subunit ribosomal RNA", at positions 28 to 507 of the family's 1533-position model. The record is from RNAcentral.
GACGAACGCUGGCGGCGUGCCUAAUACAUGCAAGUCGAGCGAAGUUUUUCUGGUGCUUGCACCGGAAAAACUUAGCGGCGAACGGGUGAGUAACACGUAAAGAACCUGCCUCAUAGACUGGGACAACUAUUGGAAACGAUAGCUAAUACCGGAUAAUAGCAUUAACUGCAUGUUGAUGUUUAAAAGUUGGUUUUGCUAACACUAUGAGAUGGCUUUGCGGUGCAUUAGCUAGUUGGUGGGGUAAAGGCCUACCAAGGCGACGAUGCAUAGCCGACCUGAGAGGGUGAUCGGCCACACUGGGACUGAGACACGGCCCAGACUCCUACGGGAGGCAGCAGUAGGGAAUCUUCCGCAAUGGGCGAAAGCCUGACGGAGCAACGCCGCGUGAGUGAAGAAGGAUUUCGGUUCGUAAAGCUCUGUUGUUAGGGAAGAAUGAUUGUGUAGUAACUAUACACAGUAGAGACGGUACCUAACCAGAAAGCCACGGCUAACUACGUG